UGGAGGGCUAUGAUGAAACAUGUAUUUUAUGACGGGAGGUCUUUCCAUAUGAUUAGUAUGUAAAACCAAUGGAUCCUUCUGAGCCCUCU
This 89-nucleotide small nucleolar RNA is filed under the name Genlisea aurea. The record is from RNAcentral. Lineage: Eukaryota; Viridiplantae; Streptophyta; Magnoliopsida; Lamiales; Lentibulariaceae.